AUGAGCGGAGUCUGGAGUGGAGCUGCGCCUGAAUGUAAAGAGAAAAGAACAUCUGUCAAACUUGGAUCAAAAGAAAUGAAAAAGAGUCCUGCUCUCAAAGAUUCCUAUGGCUACAGCAUCCAAGCAUCUAAGAAGGCUUUCAAAAAGAAAAUGAAAAUCAGCCUCUAUAAAAAGUCACUCCAAAAUACCAUCUCCUCUCAUUCUUCUUCAUUCUCCAGGGCACCAGGUAAUUGUGUUACCUCAGCAUUCAGAUUUGUUGUACCUUUGUAUAAAAGCCAGAAUUACUACUACCCUGGAAGCAGCCAAAGAUCUGUAUGUCCCCCGAAGUACAUGGGAAUUUCUGGCAUUCUACCCCAGGCUGACUGCUUUGAAAACCUAAAAUGGUCAAAAGUUCCAGCACUUUGUGGAACAAGAUCAUGGGCAGCCAGGAGAACCAGAACAUGGCAGAAGUGCUGUUACAGCAGAUUUCCAAUUCGUUGCAAAGGAAUAUUUUACCUGUAAAAUGGGAGACUGUGUCAAAUAAGCAGCUUGGCAUAUGAUCUAAAAUCAGCUACACCACGAGAAAUGCCUUGUACUUCAGGGACUCAGCUCUACUCCCCCAAAAUACGAGUCCUAUAAAAUCAGCGUGUCAAUGCCAGCGGGCUGGAGCAAGUGAUGUGGAGGGGGAAAAGUGGAGCAAUGCCUGAAAACUUCCUCCUGUAUUUGAGGGAGGAAAUGGCUCGGACAUUUCUGAAGCGCAGUGCUAAAAUACACCCCAAAAACCAGGUGGCUUUCUCCUUCUUUGAAAUUCUGGGCAAGAAUCUGCAAGCAGAAAGCUUCACUCUCCUUGAAACUAUGGCUAGGCUAAUCUUGGUGAGAAUAUUUCUUUCCCUCAGACUGCUUGUAUGGCCCAGGGGACACACGGUGGCAAGCGUGCGGAAAGAUUUAUCUGUAGCUUCGGAGCAGUUUGCGUGCUGUGGCAUCUCUCCUCCAGUGACACCGUGGCAGAAGGACACCAAUGGAGGAAGUGCUGAAAGGAGGCGUUUGCGGUUUACUGGUGUGACUUCAAAGACCACUGUCAUGCGCUCUAAGAUGCUGCUGCUUUUCCUACCAUCUGACUGUAAACAUAACAAUGACUAAAUAAGCCGUUCAGUGUCAGCCUACGUGUCUAAAUAUAUCGUUCUCUUUCUUAAAAAAACAGCACUGUAGGCACAAACCAUAUAAAACCAUCCCCAUGUUCUGUGUGUGAAGCGCUCCACGCAACGAUCAUACUUGUUAGGACUCUCACACUUUGCUUUAAAACAGAGAAGUGAGAUUAGAUCUGUCUCACAUUCACAUAUACCAUGUAUUUUUUCUAACUGUAGUAUGUUUUAAAGUUCUGAGAAAUUGGUUGAAAAUUACUUAAGUAAGAGUUGGUUAUUUUCCAUAGUUGCUUCUCCCACCUGAGAUUUUCUCCCUUUCAGCAGUUUCCUUCUAACACCGCAAGCACAGUUAUAAUUCCUAGUGAUGUGAUUUGACUUUUUUCAGACUCAGGGAGGGAAGGUGAAAUUUCUCAGGAGCCCUUUAGGCCUUCUUGAGAAUUUCUGAAGGAUCUCGGUAACGUCACGAUCACUUUGAUUAGGAGUUUCCCCUGCCACAGAUUUCCUCACUCGCUGGCACAUAGACCUGCUACCAUAGCAAUCAACAUAAACACACAGACACAUGGGAUGGGCUGUAGGAAAGACCCAGAUAUCAAACUCAGGACUUAUUCUCUGCUGGGCCAAGUCACUCCCUUAACAUUAGGAAUUCCUCACUGUCAAAAUACUAGUUCCAUUGCAGAUAUAUCCAUAUUAAAUAUCAGCAUGGUUUUGCUGAAAUCAAAAGAUUGGCUUCCUUGCCUUGCUAAGCUAUGUACUCGUUUCUUGUAGGAGAUCAUAGUACCUUUCAUAUCAAAAUGAAUGUAGGAUCUUCACAGUUUCAAUACUUUUAGCACUUUCUUUAGCAAAAGCUUGUUUUUGUAUCAGCCAUAAAUAUUGAUUCUUUGCAGUUUAUAUUUCUGUUAUUGCUACAUGAAAGAUAACAGCCAAGAACGGUGUGUGUAUCUAGUAUUUUGACUGUGCAAAAUAAGUACUUCUGCUUUUCAAAUAGAGGAAGCUACUCAUUGUCAGAAAGCUGUAGAUGAUAAGCACAUUGAGCGUGUGCAGGCUUCUAUAACACUAACUGCUAAAUAUAUUAUCUUUCAAGUGUUGUCACACUGCAACAGACCAACCAGAAAUGUCUAUUUUAUGUUGUUGACUGAUUACAGUCUGUGUGUUCUAUACCGUAUACGAAUUGCCUUAUAUUUACGUGGCAUUCUGGGUUUUUCUAUACAUUUAAAAAAGUAGUUGUAGCGUGAAGGACAGCUCUCGAAUUAGUGCGCCCGCUGUUCAUUUGCAUAUCUUGCACUCUUUUCAGGAAGGUAUCAGCGCUCAGAGAUAUCGAAAUAAUGCGAUAGUUAAAGCAAAUGCUCAGGUUUGCUGCUCGACACAUUGUUUAUCGGGAGUCUUCCUUGCUUAUUUAUUCCCUAAGCGGCCUGCUAGGCGAGUUCAACUUGGAAGAAAACCACCCAGAGCUCAGGGCUGGCAGCGCGCAGGGAUCGCUCCGGGCGCUUGCGGGAACCGGCCGGGUCACCUUGCACGCCCUCCGUCUCGUCGCCGAAGGAGCGGGCGGGAGGGAGGGUGUAUUUCGGUGGACGGCCAAGAGCCGCGCUGGCAGUUCCGCCCGCUGCUUUGUCUUUAGGUAGAGAAAAGCAGCGACAGACUGCGGGGAUAUCUCUGGCCACCGGCAGUGCAAAAGUGAAUUGACAGGGGCGUUUGCAGCAGGCAAGUGCAAGAUUUUGUGCUGUAGCUCACGGGAGGCAUUAAAAAAGAGCUGUGGCACCCCUCUGUCUCUUAGAUUUUGGGCCCUCAAAUAGCAAAAUGCAGUGACCCCAAAGCUGGUUUUGCUGUCACCUUAAUAUCGUUCUGGUUCGUGCCUGGUCACGCUCGAGCGUGCGGCGGUGGUGCAGGUGGGCGAUCCCGCGAGCGAGGCUCGGCUGUGGGCGCCGUUGCACUUCAGCCUUUGCCAUCUGCUCGGCCCGCUUUCUUUCACGCAGCAAAGGGAUGUCGGAGCAAGAUAAAAACAAGUUGUCUACAGCCGAGCAGACACGGCCCCGUUAUCAACAGGCUCAGCUGCCCUUUGUGCGCGUUUCCAGAGCAGCUUCUGGCGCCCGGAGGCUUCGCUGCCUGCUUGGCGCUGCUGUGGCGGCAGUGAAAGCGCUGCAAAGUUCAGCAGAAAAUGUGAGCGGCAGAAACGCACAGAGACCCGGGAGGCGUGAGCCCGGGACGGUCCCCAUAGGUGCAGGCAUCUCGAUUUCGGACAGACAGAAGGGUAUGGCUGCAGGUACGAGAACAGAGUAGGCAGUUUGGAGGGGCUGCUAGAAACUUUGUUAGCAAAGCGCACACUAUUGUAAGAAUUCUUUGCCCAGCGCUUCUCCCUGUUUUGUUAUCUUGUGUUGAGGUCAGUGCUAUAAUCCAUCGCAGUAAAAUUCCUCAGCCUGUUGUUAGCAACUUCCUUUUACAUGCUAGAGUCACUGCUAAGUCUCACCUCAGUGGCCAAGUGAUCUGCAAAAAUACGUGACCAGGUCAUUUUCCUACAGUUUGUCAAUACGCUCACAAAUGGUUAUUUUAAAGGAAUAUGUAAUCCAGGCUGCUUCACUCCUUGCUUAAGAAAACACAUCUGUCCUCAUUGCGAAUGCUUUUGUUACCUGUAAUCAGAGAUAAACUUUAUCAAAAAAGUGAUAUAAAGUAAAAAAAAGCAAUAAAAAUGGAUAGAAUAGCUUUGAGCUUCUCA
This 3828-nucleotide long non-coding RNA is filed under the name Struthio camelus australis. RNAcentral describes it as "lncRNA (ENSSCUG00000007578.1)". The record is from RNAcentral. Lineage: Eukaryota; Metazoa; Chordata; Aves; Struthioniformes; Struthionidae.